UCCACACUGUGCUGUAGCGCAGGCAUCCUGCCACCUCAUCUGAAGGGACUCAUCUGACUUGGCUGAGUGUUUGAAGGAGGACUGUUCCAAAUGGAGCUAAAGCAACCUUCAGUUUUCUCUAUUCAAGUUCAUCCCAACAAUGAGAAGUCCAGUCAUAGACAGAUGGUCCAGGAGGGAACUCGGGGCAUGGAGGCAUCGUACAGAGACGUCACUCUGCGUUCGCUGAAUACACUCCUGUGGACCGGACAAAAGCAGCAGGCUGACAGAUGAGGUUUCUGUCUGGGGAUCUCUGUGUUGCUUUACUGUGUGUGUAUUUGUGCAUAUGUGGUG
Xiphophorus maculatus (southern platyfish) is the source of this 330-nucleotide long non-coding RNA. RefSeq lists it as uncharacterized. The record is from RefSeq and is a predicted model, not a curated record. The transcript has 3 exons. Lineage: Eukaryota; Metazoa; Chordata; Actinopteri; Cyprinodontiformes; Poeciliidae.